AGCUCAGUUGGCUAGAGCGUUUGACUGGCAGUCAAAAGGUCAGGGGUUCGAUUCCCCUA
This 59-nucleotide transfer RNA is filed under the name Bacteroidales bacterium. RNAcentral describes it as "tRNA-Ala". It matches the Rfam family "tRNA", at positions 9 to 63 of the family's 71-position model. From Rfam's summary of the family: Transfer RNA (tRNA) molecules are approximately 80 nucleotides in length. Their secondary structure includes four short double-helical elements and three loops (D, anti-codon, and T loops). The record is from RNAcentral. Lineage: Bacteria; Pseudomonadati; Bacteroidota; Bacteroidia; Bacteroidales.